CUGGAGGGAAAAUGGGUGUUUAAACUAUAAGGUACUCCUUCCUGGUCUAGGCCAUCAUCCUCGAGUGCCAGCAGUCCGAUAACGAGGCGCGCCACUUCCUCCGUUUCCAGAUCGAGAGCAAGGCAAACCCAACCCAACCGAAAUCGAAUCACGAGAGCGGUAUCACCGCAGCUGAUAAGACGCGCCCUGCCGGCUGGGCCGCCUAUAAGAGAUGCCUCCGGCGACGGCCCAAUGCUAUUCCACAACGAGAGCAACCAUGUCCGCAGCACCUAGGAUGUACCUGGCUAUCGUGGCCUGUCUGCUGGCCGUGUCGGUGGGCGGCAAUGGGUUCAGCACCCAGUACCGUGGUCACACGCAGCACCCAACCAUGCCGGAGCACUGCCUCUACGAGGAGCUGGGCCUGGCCGUUCCACUCCAUGGCUUCGUUCUGCCCGCCGGACAGCAGGGCUACUGCCUUCGCCUGGAGUGCACCGAUGACUACCUGCUGCUGAUACGCCACUGCGACAAACAGCCCUGGCCGCGACCUGGCUGCCAUCUCUUCCCCAACGACUAUGAUUUCAAGUACCCAGAGUGCUGUCCCCAACUCGAGUGCUCCGACGAAUACUAGAUGUAGGUCAAAAGCAUUGAUCUGCUUUGAAAUACCAUCUCGCUUUCGCCUGGUUAUUAGUUAUUAGCUAUAGUCCAUUGAUCUUGUGGCAAUGUUUGCCAAAAUACUAUUGCCUACAGAAUACUGUUAUGCCAGCGUCCAGAACGAAUCUGUUCGCAACCAGAAUUUUCCACCUAUUUGAUAAACCCGAGGACCCC
RNA transcript from Drosophila erecta, 804 nucleotides. RefSeq lists it as uncharacterized. The transcript is spliced from 4 exons. Lineage: Eukaryota; Metazoa; Arthropoda; Insecta; Diptera; Drosophilidae. The record is from RefSeq and is a predicted model, not a curated record.